Molecule: small nucleolar RNA, 134 nt
Organism: Rana temporaria (common frog)
Lineage: Eukaryota; Metazoa; Chordata; Amphibia; Anura; Ranidae
Source: RefSeq, a predicted model, not a curated record
AUUGCCCUAAAUCAAGGCUGGUAGCUUACUGUAGCUUCUGGCUUCAAACAGGUGCAUAAAAUAUCUUCUUCCUGUGGUCUGUUGGCUGUGAAAUUUAUUUUAUGACCAAGCCUAUUCAGUUGGAAGAAACAAUU